This 1068-nucleotide long non-coding RNA is filed under the name Androctonus crassicauda. Lineage: Eukaryota; Metazoa; Arthropoda; Arachnida; Scorpiones; Buthidae. The record is from RNAcentral.
UAAAAUAAAAUAUAAAAAUAAACAUAAAAUAAAAGCAAGUAAACAGUUUCUGGUCCUCUUUCUUCUUUUUCUCUUUUCUUUUACGGCUUACUGUGCCUCUACGCUUUUUCUUUUACUUUCUAUCUUUUCAUAUUUCGUUGGACAAGAUAUUUCCAUGUAUCCAGUAUUUCGGUGGCGGUUCUUUCAUUUACUAUCGGACCUUUGGCCUUUGCCCUCAUUAUUUCUAGGCCUUCCACUAGUAAUGUUUGUGUUUCUUUAAAUAUGGAUUUUAAAAUUUUUGCCUCUUCUCAUUCAAUUUUUUAUGUUACCUGCAUAGGUGGCUUCCACUAAUGCAGUUGUUGUUUUUCCUAAUCUCACAUCUCUUUUAUGUUCAUGUAUUCUCUGGCUGAGGUUUCUUCUUGUUACUCCUAUAUACAUUGAUUUUUCUUUCGUUUCUGUAAACUCCAGUGGGAUUUGAUAAACUCCUGACUUCUGAGCAUGGCUUCUCUUCUCUUUCUCGUUGCGUAUGCUGUUAAACACUGUAGGUGCUCUGCGUAUAGCCGGUUUAUUUUUUAUUUUAUUUAGGAGGUUCUUAGUUGUUGCAUGGGUUGCUACUCGCAAUGGUAAUGGUACGUACUCUUUGCUUUCUCUUAAUUGCUCUUGUUCUUCAUUAGUUGGCCUUUGGUUAAUAAUAUCUUGUCUUAAUCUGGUGUGGAUUUGUCAUAUAAAGCCAUACUUGUAUCUGUGGUCCUUUCCUAUUUUGUAGAUAAGUUUCAGCUCUGUUUCGAGAUCCUUCUUGUCUGUAAUAUAUGUAUAUGCUCUCUUAAGGUAUGCUCUAAAUGCCGCUUUUUUUGUGACGUGCUCGGGCCCUCGGCCACGAACCCGUCAUGAAUUCGACCCCGGUCCCUGACACUAGUCCAUUGUUUAAUCUUAAUACUGACCUCCAGCUCUGUUUCCCGUAGCCAGCGUAGAACGUAGUCAACAAUGCCAAAACAAUCCAUGCUAAUUUUGUUAGACGAAGUUUUAUUAUUAAUGCAUAAAAUAACUUUAUCAUUAAUUCAAACAAUAUUAAAAAAAGUACUAAAUAAC